RNAcentral lists this RNase P RNA (370 nucleotides) under Rhodobiaceae bacterium. RNAcentral's name for it is "RNase P RNA component class A". It matches the Rfam family "Bacterial RNase P class A". Rfam says of the family: Ribonuclease P (RNase P) is a ubiquitous endoribonuclease, found in archaea, bacteria and eukarya as well as chloroplasts and mitochondria. The record is from RNAcentral. Lineage: Bacteria; Pseudomonadati; Pseudomonadota; Alphaproteobacteria; Hyphomicrobiales; Rhodobiaceae.
CCAGUCGACCGGGCAGCCGCUGUGCUUUGCACAGAGGAAAGUCCGGGCUCCAUGGAAACACGGUGCCGGGUAACGCCCGGCGGGGGCGACCCCAGGGAAAGUGCCACAGAAAGCAGACCGCCGGGGUAUCCCCGGCAAGGGUGAAAGGGUGCGGUAAGAGCGCACCGCGCGGCCGGUAACGGUCGUGGCAGGGCAAACCCCACCGGGAGCAAGACCGAAUAGGGAUGGCACAGGGCUUUGCCCUUAAGCGUGUUUCCACGCUGCCGUCCGGGUUGGUUGCACGAGGCCGCCGGCAACGGUGGUCCCAGAUGAAUGGCUGCCGCGCGGUUUCACCGCCAUACAGAACCCGGCUUACAGGUCGGCUGGCCGC